RNAcentral lists this ribosomal RNA (85 nucleotides) under Paenibacillus monticola. RNAcentral's name for it is "Paenibacillus sp. LC-T2 partial 23S ribosomal RNA". It matches the Rfam family "Bacterial large subunit ribosomal RNA", at positions 2842 to 2925 of the family's 2925-position model. Lineage: Bacteria; Bacillati; Bacillota; Bacilli; Caryophanales; Paenibacillaceae. The record is from RNAcentral.
AGACGACGAGGUAGAUAGGUUGGAGGUGGAAGUGCAGCAAUGCAUGGAGCUGACCAAUACUAAUCGGUCGAGGGCUUAUCCACAA